CAUUUAUACCAAGCCAGUUAACCGACAAAUCUGCACCACUUUGGAGUGUGGGUGGAAACCGGAGCAUCCGGA
Long non-coding RNA from Amblyraja radiata (thorny skate), 72 nucleotides. RefSeq lists it as uncharacterized. NCBI's taxonomy places the organism in Eukaryota, Metazoa, Chordata, Chondrichthyes, Rajiformes, Rajidae. The transcript has 3 exons. The record is from RefSeq and is a predicted model, not a curated record.